UGAGUAACCUGCCCUCCACUCUGGGAUAAGCACGGGAAACCGGGUCUAAUACCGGAUAUGACCUGUCACCGCAUGGUGGGGGGUGGAAAGCUUUUGUGGUUUUGGAUGGACUCGCGGCCUAUCAGCUUGUUGGUGAGGUAAUGGCUCACCAAGGCGACGACGGGUAGCCGGCCUGAGAGGGUGACCGGCCACACUGGGACUGAGACACGGCCCAGACUCCUACGGGAGGCAG
RNAcentral lists this ribosomal RNA (232 nucleotides) under uncultured bacterium. RNAcentral's name for it is "partial 16S ribosomal RNA". It matches the Rfam family "Bacterial small subunit ribosomal RNA", at positions 118 to 351 of the family's 1533-position model. The record is from RNAcentral.